ACGUGUAGAGCUAGCGUUGCUCGGAUUCACUGGGCUUAAAGGGUGCGUAGGCGGCUUAGUAAGUAAGGUGUGAAAUCCUGCGGCUUACCCGUAGAAUUGCAUCUUAUACUGCUUUGCUAGAGUGUCGAAGAGGUUAGCGGAAUUCUGGGUGUAGCGGUGAAAUGCUUAGAUAUCCAGGAGAACGCCGGUGACGAAGGUGGCUAACUGGUCGAUAACUGACGCUGAGGCACGAAAGCCAGGGGAGCAAACGG
This 251-nucleotide ribosomal RNA is filed under the name uncultured prokaryote. Its description in RNAcentral is "partial 16S rRNA". It matches the Rfam family "Bacterial small subunit ribosomal RNA", at positions 525 to 775 of the family's 1533-position model. The record is from RNAcentral.